UACGUAGGGGGCAAGCGUUGUCCGGAUUUAUUGGGCGUAAAGAGCGUGUAGGCGGCCUGGCAGGUCCGUUGUGAAAACCCGGGGCUCAACCCCGGGCCUGCAUCCGAAACUUCCGGGCUGGAGGUAGGUAGGGGAGAUCGGAAUUCCUGGUGUAGCGGUGAAAUGCGCAGAUAUCAGGAGGAACACCGGUGGCGAAGGCGGGUCUCUGGGCAGUAACUGACGCUGAGGAGCGAAAGCGUGGGGAGCGAACAGG
RNAcentral lists this ribosomal RNA (253 nucleotides) under uncultured bacterium. Its description in RNAcentral is "partial 16S ribosomal RNA". It matches the Rfam family "Bacterial small subunit ribosomal RNA", at positions 524 to 776 of the family's 1533-position model. The record is from RNAcentral.